This 484-nucleotide ribosomal RNA is filed under the name uncultured bacterium. RNAcentral's name for it is "partial 16S ribosomal RNA". It matches the Rfam family "Bacterial small subunit ribosomal RNA", at positions 30 to 507 of the family's 1533-position model. The record is from RNAcentral.
AUUGAACGCUGGCGGCAGGCCUAACACAUGCAAGUCGAGCGGAUGAAGGGAGCUUGCUCCUGGAUUCAGCGGCGGACGGGUGAGUAAUGCCUAGGAAUCUGCCUGGUAGUGGGGGAUAACGUCCGGAAACGGGCGCUAAUACCGCAUACGUCCUUAGGGAGCAAGUGGGGGAUCUUCGGACCUCACGCUAUCAGAUGAGCCUAGGUCGGAUUAGCUGGUUGGUGGGGUAAAGGCCUAGCAAGGCGACGAUCCGUAACUGGGCUGAGGGGAUGAUCAGUCACACUGGAAGUGAGACACGGUCCAGACUCCUACGGUGGGACGCAGUGGGGAAUAUUGGAGGAUGGGCGAAUGCCUGAUCCAGGCAUGCCGCGUGUGUGAAGAAGGUCUUCGGAUUGUAAAGCGCUGUAAGUUGGGAGGAAGGGCAGUAAGUUAAUACCUUGCUGUAUUGACGUUACCAACAGAAUAAGCACCGGCUAACUUCGUG